UUGACCUCGAAUCAGGUAGGACUACCCGCUGAACUUAAGCAUAUCAAUAAGCGGAGGAAAAGAAACCAACAGG
Molecule: ribosomal RNA, 73 nt
Filed under: Metarhizium anisopliae
Lineage: Eukaryota; Fungi; Ascomycota; Sordariomycetes; Hypocreales; Clavicipitaceae
Also listed under: 5 other names
Description: partial large subunit ribosomal RNA
Rfam family: Eukaryotic large subunit ribosomal RNA
Source: RNAcentral